GAUGAACGCUGGCGGCGUGCCUAAUACAUGCAAGUCGAGCGAACAGACGAGGAGCUUGCUCCUCUGACGUUAGCGUCGGACGGGUGAGUAACACGUGGAUAACCUACCUAUAAGACUGGGAUAACUUCGGGAAACCGGAGCUAAUACCGGAUAAUAUAUUGAACCGCAUGGUUCAAUAGUGAAAGACGGUAUUGCUGUCACUUAUAGAUGGAUCCGCGCCGCAUUAGCUAGUUGGUAAGGUAACGGCUUACCAAGGCGACGAUGCAUAGCCGACCUGAGAGGGUGAUCGGCCACACUAGAACUGAGACACGGUCCAGACUCCUGCGGGAGGCAGCAGUAGGGAAUCUUCCGCAAUGGGCGAAGGCCUGACGGAGCAACGCCGCGUGAGUGAUGAAGGUCUUCGGAUCGUAAAACUCUGUUAUUAGGGAAGAACAAAUGUGUAAGUAACUAUGCACGUCUUGACGGUACCUAAUCAGAAAGCCACGGCUAACUACGUG
RNAcentral lists this ribosomal RNA (497 nucleotides) under uncultured bacterium. RNAcentral's name for it is "partial 16S ribosomal RNA". It matches the Rfam family "Bacterial small subunit ribosomal RNA", at positions 28 to 507 of the family's 1533-position model. The record is from RNAcentral.